Molecule: non-coding RNA, 466 nt
Organism: Pelobates cultripes (western spadefoot toad)
Lineage: Eukaryota; Metazoa; Chordata; Amphibia; Anura; Pelobatidae
Source: the annotation of a GenBank genome assembly
CCUUCCUACUAAUUUCUGUUCCUUCUCUUUUCUGCUCCUUCUCCUACUUUACCUUCCUGCUCCUUGCUAACCCUUCAUGUAGGCUGUCUCCCCCAUCCCUCACUUACCUGAUCUGUAGGCUGUCUCUGCAGUCUAGGAGUUGCUGGCUGCACUGUCUUUAGCUGCUCCCCCGUGGAUUCAGUCAGGAGAGAGAAGCAGGGAUAAGAUGUAGUUUCCUAUCCCUGUCUCUCUCAACACACAGCGCCACCUACUAACCGGCGCCAAUGUUGCAGUGUAUUCUCAAUCUGAAAAGAAAAAUACCGGCACAAGAUGAAAAAUCCAGGGAGGGGCAAGUGUCACCCAUGAGUACAAUGGAUGGUGUUACUGAUUCAUGUCCUAAUUUGCCAUCAUUAUCAUCAUCUAGAGGAGACCAUGAAAAAGAUGAGCUCUUCCUAACAAACACACAUACACAUAUAUAUGAAAAGAC